Gallus gallus (chicken) is the source of this 903-nucleotide long non-coding RNA. NCBI's taxonomy places the organism in Eukaryota, Metazoa, Chordata, Aves, Galliformes, Phasianidae. The record is from Ensembl.
UUUUAAAGGUACAAUACAGUGAAAUGAGAUUACAUGGUGAAAUCACUGUUUUCUACUUUUUGAAGGAAAUCUUAGUUUUUCCUAAGCAACUGCACAUCUAUACCUAUACAGUCACCACUGCCUAUUUUUCCUCCUGGAAAGAAAAAAAAAAGAUAAGCAAAAAAAUUAAGAGAAAACUCAUUGGUAGCAAACAUUUCUGCAAUGUUAUGUCUACGCUGUAUAAAACAGAAAUAAAUACGUAUCCUCAGUGAAUAGGCAGUUAAUCACCAGAAAUCUAGUAGAGGUUUGGGCGUUGCAUUUCUGUUUUUGAACAUUUUGGAAGUUUGAGAUGACAGUGACAGAUGGAAGCACAGUUCUUGGCAAGUGGUUGGAGCUCUAGGUGGGGUAGGUGACAGGGGCAAGUGAACAUGCUAGAGAGGGAGUGGAGGUGAAUCUCUUCCAGAUUUGUCUUUGCUGAAACAAAAAUCUGUCUUGAGAAGAAUUUCAAAAGAUGCAAUUUGGAUACCAGAGUAGGUAUCAUAAACUUAAUAACAGUCAAGAAGAGAGGAGAACUUGACCAGCAAGAUUAGAAGUUGGCCAAGCUGAAAUGCAUAUUCCUGCUCACUGGCCUGCUGGAUGCUGCAGGGAAGUAUAAAUACACAGUAUCUUUUGGAAUGGACAGCGUUCUAGAUGGAGUAAUACAAGAGACCAAGACCUGUUCAUGAAACCUGGGUGAUAGUUUUAAAGGUGGUUCCUACAGAAACUGAACUAAGCUAUUUUAUGGCUAGUCAAAGGGGCAGUACACAACAGACUGCUGUAGCUCUUUUUGAACACAGACGAAGUGUCUCUGAAUAGAGCAACUCAUGAGUGCACCAGGAGCUGAUGUCCACUGAAGGUUUGGUUGAGGAAUCCAGAGAAGAACAG